Molecule: long non-coding RNA, 1026 nt
Organism: Brachypodium distachyon (stiff brome)
Lineage: Eukaryota; Viridiplantae; Streptophyta; Magnoliopsida; Poales; Poaceae
Exons: 2
Source: RefSeq, a predicted model, not a curated record
GUUAGCAGCCCACCCGUGUGCUCCUCCUUCUCUCGCAUCGUCUUCAUCCUCUGCUCGACCAGGCAUGCACGCACGGUUCCCCAUCCCCAAAUCCCUGAUCCCAUCCUCAUUUCCCUCUCCUCUUCUUCCUCGCGCCUCACCUCCCCACCAUGGCCACCUUCGUCUGCUCCUCGUCCUCCACUGCCGCCGCCUCUAUGCCGUGCAGGCGCAGCCUUGACCGGACCCGCUCGCAAUUCCUGUACGCACGACGGCGAAGGCCUCCCCACCACCAUCGAUCUUGAGAUCAGGGAGGAUAUUGAGGGCUCGCGGCGGUGACCGGCGAUGGAAAGGGCUCGGAUCAGGCCACCGUCGUCGGGUACGUGGAUCCGGUGGAGCACGUGGGCACAACCCUAGCCCACGGGCAAGACCGGCGUCUACUCCUUCAGUGUCCUCCUCAUCGAGAUCAUGGCUAUUGGCGCAUACAAUUUGGAUGCUUAUCUUGAUAUGGAGGAUGAGACACGGUGGUGGCCAUGGCCAGAGGAUGAGGAUUUGCCCGACAUGGAUGGCAGAGAUGGAGAGGAUGUUGGUGCCUGCGAAGCGGUGCAUGACAGGGUGAAGAGGGAGCGGUGCGUGACAGGGCAUUGCUUGAUGUUGAAGAAAAGGGAGGCCAUGGUUGAUAUAGAUAGGGAUGAUGGGGUUAAGAAUAUGUUCUUUGUUGCUUGUUAACUUUGUCCUCUGUCUGUUGUUGACUUUGUACCAUGCAGGGUGAUCACUCUUUAUAAUGUAGAAUGGAUGGUGACUUAAUGCACGACAUGGUGAUAACUUUGUCCUUUGUGUCUUGGCAACUUUGUCUCAUUUAGAGUGGUGACUUUUUAUACUUUACAGUGGGUGGUACCUUAAUAGAAAACACGGUGGUAACUUUCAGGUCCAUGUAUUGGUAACUUUGUGCCAUUUAGGGUGGAGACUUUUUUAUACUAUAGAGUGGGUGGUAACUCAGUAGAUAGCAGGGUGGUAACUUAAUAGAUAGAAGAUGGUAACAUUAUUUUC